GGACUACAGGGGUAUCUAAUCCUGUUUGCUCCCCACGCUUUCGCGCCUCAGCGUCAGUCAUGGACCAGGUCGCCGCCUUCGCCACCGGUGUUCUUCCCAAUAUCUACGAAUUUCACCUCUACACUGGGAAUUCCACGACCCUCUUCCACACUCAAGCCAUGCUGUAUCAAGCGCAGCCCCCAGGUUGAGCCCAGGAAUUUCACGCCUGACUGGCACAGCCGCCUACGCGCCCUUUACGCCCAGUCAUUCCGAGCAACGCUAGCCCCCUUCGUAUUACCGCGGCGGCUGGCAC
RNAcentral lists this ribosomal RNA (292 nucleotides) under uncultured Alphaproteobacteria bacterium. RNAcentral describes it as "partial 16S ribosomal RNA". The record is from RNAcentral. Lineage: Bacteria; Pseudomonadati; Pseudomonadota; Alphaproteobacteria.